CUACGGGACGCACCAGUGAGGAAUAUUGCACAAUGGGGGGAACCCUGAUGCAGCAACGCCGCGUGGAGGAUGACGCAUUUCGGUGUGUAAACUCCUUUUAUAUGUCAAGAAAAUGACGGUAGCAUAUGAAUAAGCACCGGCUAACUCCGUGCCAGCAGCCGCGGUAAUACGGAGGGUGCAAGCGUUACUCGGAAUCACUGGGCGUAAAGAGCGCGUAGGCGGGUUGGAAAGUCAGGUGUGAAAUCCUACAGCUUAACUGUAGAACUGCACUUGAAACUUCUAAUCUAGAGUAUGGGAGGGGGAGAUGGAAUUAGUGGUGUAGGGGUAAAAUCCGUAGAUAUCACUAGGAAUACCUAAAGCGAAGGCGAUCUCCUGGAACAUUACUGACGCUAAGGCGUGAAAGCGUGGGGAGCAAACAGGAUUAGAUACCCGUGUAGUC
RNAcentral lists this ribosomal RNA (439 nucleotides) under uncultured bacterium. RNAcentral describes it as "partial 16S ribosomal RNA". It matches the Rfam family "Bacterial small subunit ribosomal RNA", at positions 339 to 795 of the family's 1533-position model. The record is from RNAcentral.